RNAcentral lists this ribosomal RNA (324 nucleotides) under bacterium UASWS0158. RNAcentral describes it as "bacterial SSU rRNA". It matches the Rfam family "Bacterial small subunit ribosomal RNA", at positions 1114 to 1417 of the family's 1533-position model. The record is from RNAcentral. RNAcentral also lists the same sequence under 1 other name.
GGGGCCAAUUCUAAGGGAAGAAUUUGGCNGGGNUGGACCAAAACCCGGGAANGGAAAGGUUGGGGGGAUGACGGUCAAGUUCAUUCAUGGCCCCCUUACGGGCCUUGGGGCAACACAACGUGGCUACAAUGGUUUCGNUAACAGAGGGGNUGCCAAGCCGGCGAGGUGGAGCUAAUCCCAUAAAACCGAUCGUAAGUCCGGAUCGCAGUCUGCAACUCGACUGCGUGAAGUCGGAAUCGCUAGUAAUCGCGAAUCAGAAUGUCGCGGUGAAUACGUUCCCGGGCCUUGUACACACCGCCCCUGAAUCACUAGUGAAUUUCGCGG